UACGUAGGGUGCGAGCGUUGUCCGGAAUUACUGGGCGUAAAGGGCUCGUAGGUGGUUUGUCGCGUCGUCUGUGAAAUUCCGGGGCUUAACUCCGGGCGUGCAGGCGAUACGGGCAUAACUUGAGUACUGUAGGGGUAACUGGAAUUCCUGGUGUAGCGGUGAAAUGCGCAGAUAUCAGGAGGAACACCGAUGGCGAAGGGCAGGUUAGCGUGGGCGAGUUACUGACGCUGAGGAAGCGGAAAGCAUGGGUAGCGAACAGGAUUAGACUACCCGUGUC
RNAcentral lists this ribosomal RNA (277 nucleotides) under uncultured bacterium. RNAcentral's name for it is "partial 16S ribosomal RNA". It matches the Rfam family "Bacterial small subunit ribosomal RNA", at positions 524 to 795 of the family's 1533-position model. The record is from RNAcentral.